UGCAAUUUGUAGAACUAAUGCUGUUAUUAGGUUGGAUGUCGCACACUGUCUCUUUCUGCGUACAGCUGAGGUGCAGCCGGCCUCACCGCCCGGCAGUGAAUGAGUUACUGCUGGUGCAGUGUGUGUGUGUGUGUGUGUGCUUGGUGCGCCCCUCCCUGGUUGCUCCGCACGCCGCUGCCUGCAGACGGAUGUUGCCGCAUCCCAGCGCGCUGCGCUGCGCUCCGCCACCACGCUGCGUUCUUCUCCAAAUGUGCCAAAUCUCCUCCUCGGUCCUCCUGCCUCUAGCUUGACGUACAGACGCUCUCUCACACACACACUGACCGACAAUCACACGUAGCGGCGACAUUUCUCUCCGGUUUCUACACACACAACUCUCCGCUGAAAGUGGCUCAUCAUCCAUAACGGAAUCUGCCGGCUCUCCUCUGACAUCAACAAGGCCAUUUUGUCAUCACAAAUGUGACUCACUGGAUCCUUUCUCCUUUUCCGACCAUUUCCUGCAAAAUUCUCCAGCUCAUUCGAGGGAAUCCCACAGCAUUCCCAGGCCAGACGGGUUUUACAGUCCUUUCAGUGAAUUCUGGGUCUUCCUUGGGGUCUCCUCCCAUUGUGAUGGGCCCUGGAGGCAUCCUAAUCAGCUGUAUAGGUCGGGUUAAAUGUAACUUACAUGUCAUUCAUUUUGGUGAUGUAUCUGACUGGGACGAUUUCAGAAAAUAAGUCAUCUUAACUGACUCAGAUCGGUUUCUGGGACAAAAAAUCCUGAAUAUUUCUUUUUGUGACAUUGUGUGUUAGAUGUGGUAUCUUAGCCUUAUCUGCUGCUUUGGGUUUUUUUCUGUGGUUUACCCAAAAAGCACUUUGUGUUAAAAAUUUGUUUUAUAAAGUUACCUAAAAAUGUCAAGGUUUUUUAUAUCAUCUGUUACUUUAUGGCAUGCUCCAUAUGAGGCUUCCUGUUACAAUCGCUUACACUUGAACUGGAAUGUCAUUGUAUCAUAGAAAUGCAUUUACUGCCGCAGUUGAGAUCAUUUUAAAUACAUUUUUAUGCCUGACCCUUGUGAAAUACAUUAAUCAGCAAACUGAAUGAGUCAUUAUUUCAGCUGUAGCAUAUAACGUUCCAAUACUCCAAAUUUUGCAAGGCUAACACUAACAUUACAGCACCCACACAGGCUUUGACCUUGUGUAUGUGCUGACAUCGAUGUCAAUUUAGCGAAAUGAGAUGCACCAUUAAGCUCCACUGUUCUACAUUUAAAGCAGCUUCUCUGUCUGUCUGCCUCCCUGUUGUUAUUAAACUCUUACAUUUUAAUUAGAAA
Long non-coding RNA from Girardinichthys multiradiatus, 1301 nucleotides. RefSeq lists it as uncharacterized. Lineage: Eukaryota; Metazoa; Chordata; Actinopteri; Cyprinodontiformes; Goodeidae. The transcript is spliced from 2 exons. The record is from RefSeq and is a predicted model, not a curated record.